Molecule: ribosomal RNA, 492 nt
Filed under: uncultured bacterium
Lineage: Bacteria
Description: partial 16S ribosomal RNA
Rfam family: Bacterial small subunit ribosomal RNA
Source: RNAcentral
AGUGAACGCUGGCGGUAGGCCUAACACAUGCAAGUCGAACGGCAGCACAGUAAGAGCUUGCUCUUACGGGUGGCGAGUGGCGGACGGGUGAGGAAUACAUCGGAAUCUACUUUUUCGUGGGGGAUAACGUAGGGAAACUUACGCUAAUACCGCAUACGACCUACGGGUGAAAGCAGGGGAUCUUCGGACCUUGCGCGAUUGAAUGCGCCGAUGUCGGAUUAGCUAGUUGGCGGGGUAAAGGCCCACCAAGGCGACGAUCCGUAGCUGGUCUGAGAGGAUGAUCAGCCACACUGGAACUGAGACACGGUCCAGACGCCUACGGGAGGCAGCAGUGGGGAAUAUUGGACAAUGGGCGCAAGCCUGAUCCAGCCAUACCGCGUGGGUGAAGAAGGCCUUCGGGUUGUAAAGCCCUUUUGUGGGGAAAGAAAAGCAGCAGGUUAAUACCCCGCUGUUCUGACGGUACCCAAAGAAUAAGCACCGGCUAACUUCGUG